This 241-nucleotide unclassified non-coding RNA is filed under the name Russula sp. Its description in RNAcentral is "partial contains 5.8S ribosomal RNA, internal transcribed spacer 2, and large subunit ribosomal RNA". The stretch from base 1 to 52 matches the Rfam family "5.8S ribosomal RNA", at positions 103 to 154 of the family's 154-position model. The record is from RNAcentral. Lineage: Eukaryota; Fungi; Basidiomycota; Agaricomycetes; Russulales; Russulaceae.
AACGCACAUUGCGCCCUCUGGUAUUCCGGGGGGCAUGCCUGUUCGAGCGUCAUUAUAACCACUCAAGCUCACGCUUGGUAUUGGGGUUCGCGGUUCCGCGGCCCCUAAAAUCAGUGGCGGUGCCUGUCGGCUCUACGCGUAGUAAUACUCCUCGCGAUUGAGUCCGGUAGGUUUACUUGCCAGCAACCCCUAAUUUUUUAAGGUUGACCUCGGAUCAGGUAGGGAUACCCGCUGAACUUAA